CCUACGGGGGGCAGCAGUGGGGGAUAUUGCACAAUGGGGGAACCCUGAUGCAGCGACGCCGCGUGAGCGAUGGAGUACUUCGGUAUGUAAAGCUCUGUCAGCAGGGAAGAAAAUGACGGUACCUGACCAAGAAGCCCCGGCUAAAUACGUGCCAGCAGCCGCGGUAAUACGUAUGGGGCAAGCGUUAUCCGGAUUUACUGGGUGUAAAGGGUGCGUAGGUGGUUCAGCAAGUUAGUAGCGUAAUUCCGGAGCUCAACUUCGGCACUACUACUAAAACUGUUGGACUUGAGUGCAGGAGGGGCAACUGGAAUUUCUAGUGUAGCGGUGGAAUGCGUAGAUAUUAGGAAGAACACCGGUGGCGAAGGCGAGUUGCUGGACUGUAACUGACACUGAGGCACGAAAGCGUGGGGAGCAAACAGGAUUAGAUACCCGAGUAGUC
RNAcentral lists this ribosomal RNA (439 nucleotides) under uncultured bacterium. RNAcentral's name for it is "partial 16S ribosomal RNA". It matches the Rfam family "Bacterial small subunit ribosomal RNA", at positions 338 to 795 of the family's 1533-position model. The record is from RNAcentral.